Molecule: ribosomal RNA, 259 nt
Filed under: uncultured prokaryote
Description: partial 16S ribosomal RNA
Rfam family: Bacterial small subunit ribosomal RNA
Source: RNAcentral
UACGGAGGAUCCGAGCGUUAUCCGGAUUUAUUGGGUCUAAAGGGUGCGCAGGCGGAAGAUUAAGUCGGUGGUGAAAUUUUGCAGCUCAACUGUAAAAGUGCCAUUGAUACUGGUUUUCUUGAGUGUGGAUGAAGUAGGCGGAAUUUGUGGUGUAGCGGUGAAAUGCAUAGAUAUCACGAGGAACUCCGAUUGCGCAGGCAGCUUACUAAACCAUAACUGACGCUCAGGCACGAAGGCGUGGGGAUCAAACAGGAUUAGA